GACAGAGGUGCCAAGCGUUAGGCGGAAUCACUGGGCUUAAAGCGUGUGUAGGCGGAUUGGUAAGUACCUUGUGAAAUCCCACGGCUCACCCGUGGAACUGCUGGGCAUACUGGGCGUCUUGGGCCAACUAGGGGCAGCCGGAACAAGCGGUGGAGCGGUGAAAUGCGUAGAUAUCGCUUGGAACGCCGAAGGUGAAAACAGGCUGCUGGGGUUGCGCCGACGCUGAGACACGAAAGCCAGGGGAGCAAACGGG
Molecule: ribosomal RNA, 253 nt
Filed under: uncultured bacterium
Lineage: Bacteria
Description: partial 16S ribosomal RNA
Rfam family: Bacterial small subunit ribosomal RNA
Source: RNAcentral